This 818-nucleotide small RNA is filed under the name Pan troglodytes (chimpanzee). RNAcentral describes it as "processed transcript". The record is from RNAcentral. Lineage: Eukaryota; Metazoa; Chordata; Mammalia; Primates; Hominidae.
GCGCAGUGCUGCCAACGCCCCGGUGGAGAAGCUGAGGUCAACAUCAGAUUUGAAAUAUUUAAAGUGGAUACAAAACUAUUUCAGCAAUGCAGACAAUUAAGUGUGUUGUUGUGGGCGAUGGUGCUGUUGGUAAAACAUGUCUCCUGAUAUCCUACACAACAAACAAAUUUCCAUCGGAAUAUGUACCGACUAUCUUGACUUCUCAUGGGUAAAUUAUAUACACUUUAUAAACAGCUGAAAAAUCAGUGGAAAGUCAGAAGGGGUGACACAGGGUUUGCAAGAAGUGCUGGGAGGCAAAACUCCAGUAGACAAGAUUCUAACGAGUGGUGGUCUCAAUUUGGUGAAGUAUGCCCUACAUCUUGGAAUGAGGUUUUUGACAACUAUGCAGUCACAGUUAUGAUUGGUGGAGAACCAUAUACUCUUGGACUUUUUGAUACUGCAGGGCAAGAGGAUUAUGACAGAUUACGACCGCUGAGUUAUCCACAAACAGAUGUAUUUCUAGUCUGUUUUUCAGUGGUCUCUCCAUCUUCAUUUGAAAAUGUGAAAGAAAAGUGGGUGCCUGAGAUAACUCACCACUGUCCAAAGACUCCUUUCUUGCUUGUUGGGACUCAAAUUGAUCUCAGAGAUGACCCCUCUACUAUUGAGAAACUUGCCAAGAACAAACAGAAGCCUAUCACUCCAGAGACUGCUGAAAAGCUGGCCCGUGACCUGAAGGCUGUCAAGUAUGUGGAGUGUUCUGCACUUACACAGAGAGGUCUGAAGAAUGUGUUUGAUGAGGCUAUCCUAGCUGCCCUCGAGCCUCCGGAAACUCAACCCAA